Non-coding RNA from Castor canadensis (American beaver), 287 nucleotides. Lineage: Eukaryota; Metazoa; Chordata; Mammalia; Rodentia; Castoridae. The record is from RefSeq and is a predicted model, not a curated record.
ACCUUGCUGCCGCUGCUGCCGCCACCCGCACCCCCGCUUCGGUCUGUGGUGCAGUGGGGACCCAGGACCAUGUCGCUGUCACGCUCAGAAGAGAUGCACCGGCUCACGGAAAAUGUCUACAAGACCAUCAUGGAGCAGUUCAACCCCAGCCUCCGCAACUUCAUUGCCAUGGGGAAGAACUACGAGAAAGCCCUCGCAGGUGUGACCUUCGCUGCCAAAGGCUAUUUUGAUGCCCUGGUGAAGAUGGGGGAGCUAGCCAGUGAAAGCCAGGGCUCCAAGGAACUUGG